AGUUGCCUUCCCAGACUCCUGCAGAAAUUUAAGUGCAAUGUAUCAUCAAGGAUCAUUGAAUCCAGUUGUUUGAUUUCUUUUGUAUAACAAGAGCUUGAGUUGUCGCCCUAUCUGUGGCGGUAUCAUGGUUUGCUUGACUCAAUUUUGACAAGCAGUUCAAAAUUAAGUAUGGUCGCUUGAAGCAUUCUUUGUGAUACGAACUGCAAUCGAGUUUCACGUUUUGUUCUACUCAACUCGGCCUUUUCCAGAUAUCUUAGCUUUGGCUUUAUGUGGGCACACUAUUGUUACUCUUUUUAUAUGGCAAUACUAAGGAGAUUGAAGUAUUCGUAACACAUGUGUUUUCUGUCGUGCAGUGAACUUGUUAUACUCUUUCUGGUUCAAUGGAACUUACCUACGCACAUUAGGGCUUUUACUUUAGCUGGUGAGUGUUUGUGAGCGAGAUGACUGUCGCUUCCGCAUGGAUCCACCUCCUAGCCGUUGACCACUUCAUUGGAACGCACGUGUAACCUUGAUGGGAAAAUAUGGUGAAGACUUGAAGUUGAUAUACUAAUGUGAUAUAUGAAGCUAUAUUCAAGGGCGUCACACAGGUUUGGAAUCUUCAUUCACAUCUGCACCUCACUUGUUACCUGUGUUCUUGCUUUAGUCAUUUUUUUGUAAUCAUAUUCCUAUAUACUGGGCAUCAUUCUGUAUUGCCAGUGCUUUCUAUUAAUCACCAUUUUAAGAAUCAUUGCUUGAUAUACUGGUCUUUUAUAUGUACCAUCUUAUUUAUCAUCUGAAUUACCUUUUGUCUGAUAUAGCACUACAAUUGGUUUAAUGUACAUUGAUUUAUAUCUGAAAACUUUAAUUAUGCUUUUUUUUAUAUUUCCAGUUCUUUCAAUCAAUCACCUUUGUAAGACCCACUGCUUGACCCAUUUGAUCUCAGAGCAUAUUUUACAUUUCUUUUUUCUCAUGUACUCUCUCCGUCCCAAAAUAAGUGACUUACUGUACAUUGCUAUAUAUCUGAAUUUUCUUCAUUGUGUUUAAAUAUGGAAAGUACCUUCUUUAACUAAGCGAACAACCUCUUGACGAUUGCUGCGCUCAUAAUUUUUUUGCAAUAGUUUGGUUUUAUUACUGUUGGUGGCAGGUACGACAAACUUGUUGGCAUGUUCAGUAACAAGCAAGUCCCCACUGUUGGCGUCGAUCUUGGAAUAGAAAGGGUUUUCGCAAUCAUUGAGCAACAUGAGAAAGAAAAUAACCAGGUUAUCCGGGCUAGGGUGACAGAGGUUUUGGUGUCGAUUCUAGGGAAGGACCUUAUAUUGGCCGCCAAGCUUGCGAAUGAGUUAUGGAGUGCUGGGAUAAAGGCAGAGUUCAAGCUCACCACCAGGGAGCUGGACCACAUAAAGUAUGUGACUCAGACAGGCAUUCUGUGGAUGGUGCUGGUCGGUGAGUCUGGAUUUCGUCCAGGUGUUGAAGCAGAGAUUAUCUAACCCUUAGAGAGGAAAUCUUAAAUGUAGAGCGCGUGUGUCCUAGGCGAUGCAUUGUUCUUGGUUUCUCCGUGCGUUCAUUUUGCUGAUGAUGAGGUGUGUACACAAGACAGUGUGGCUCCUCGAUUUAUACACAUGAUCACAAAUUGUUGGAAUUGUUGCCUUAUAUGUCAAGUGCUUGUUGUGAGUUCCAAACUUACAGUAGAGAUGGCGUAUUAGCUACCCGAUCCAGAGCCGAAGCUUUGUUGGCGCACGGUAUUUUUUGUACGAUUAUUGAUUUGCUAGCAUAUAUUCUAGACUAAAUUUUGUUAGCCUGCUGCACUUUAUAGCGCUUUUAUCUGGUUUCUUUCUUAGUUUCUUAUAACAUCUUAAUUUAUUUAUUUUAUAUGACGUAAGAUUGUUCCGUUCACUAAUGUUUCUCCAUGUUAUGAAGAAAAGAUUUGGGUUCAGAGCACCUUUCCGUGUUAUUUAUCUGAUUUUUGUGAUUUCUGAUGUUCAGGUCAAGGCGAACUUGAAAUAUGGCCACCUUUGUAUGGCCAAUGGCUUUGUAGGCUUUCAGUAUUUGGCGUCUGUCGCCGGGUUUGUUCCGCCUCAACCAGGAUCUUCUCGGCACUGCUCUGAUGUUGUGAAAACUCACGCAUGCCGACAGCCGCCUCCAUGCUCGAGCUGCCGCAGCCUGUAGGUAGCCUCUCCGUUCUUUUUUCUCGACCUUUUUGCUUGCUCUGCUAAAGUGUUAUGCGUGUGUUUGGCUGCUUGCUACUUGCAAAUAAAUUGUAUGAAUGGCAGCAGGGUGUAGCAACAGCCAACAUUAGUUCGGCUCAAUCCCAGCAGCAAAUUUCUUUGUUGCUCUAUUAUAUAUUUAUAUUCAACCAUAUGUUUAUAUCUUUCUGGUAAUGCGUUUGGUUUCUAAAUUGAUAUUUAAAAAAAUUGCGUUGAUCCUCGGUGGUGCGCAAAUUUUAUUACAAGUCCAGUUUCUUUAGUGUUGCAGAAAAAGUUGACUGCUGAAUACUGAUGCAUACUAGGCAAACAACUUAUUUGCCCAUUGCCAUAUAUCAACCUAGCUGAACUAAAAAUGACAUGCUUGGGUCGGUCAAGCUUUGCUGGGUAUUCAAGAAGUUAGCUCAGGCUUAUGAGGUUAUGAAUGAUCCUGAGAAGCUGGGAGGUCGAGGACUGCAUGAUCUAUUGGACAUCUUCCGGUCAUUCUGUGUAUAAGAUAGCUAUAUAAUAGUUCUAUUCCAUGACUAUGGUCAUUCUGUGUAGAUUUUGUCAUAUUGGAAUUAAAAAAUGAACAAAAACAAUUUUUUUAGGAUUGAGGGUUGAUUCUCUGAGAUUACACAUGGAUAAUUGGAUUUUGGGUACAUAUAUACUUUCAGCGAUGCCAUGAUUUUGGUUAACUCCAGGUUAUAAUUUCAAUGAUGCUUUAUGAGGAUCUUAAGAUUUGUCCGUGGUGGCUUUUUCUUACCGGUGAAUUCGGCAUUUUACAAACUUGACUUGUGUGCUUCCAUAAUCGAUAUUCCUGAUUGAUUGCGUGAAGAAACUGAUUCAUGUGUUGAAUGGACCUCAGAGAAUUAUGGAUAUGGGUGACUACUUGACUCUUGCCUUGGUUUGCAUUAAGUGUGUCGUACUGUCCUUUGAAUUUGCAAAUUCCGAGACACACUCAGCCAUUACAUGCAUUGUCCUAGCAGGAACAUGACUUGGGACAGGUCACGCGCGGCAAGUUGCCCUUCCUAUGUCAUGAAUCUUAAUGCUUUGUACUGAAUUGCAUGCAAACCAGUUAUUUGCCUGGCUUGUGUUAUAUCGUAAAUCUUGAUGUCUUAUACUAAAUCUACUGGACCACUCCUGAAUACUAAUAUAGAUAUUAUGCUUCAUAUUAAAUAUUGAUGGUUUUUAUUGAACCAUAUCCUA
Molecule: non-coding RNA, 3368 nt
Organism: Aegilops tauschii subsp. strangulata
Lineage: Eukaryota; Viridiplantae; Streptophyta; Magnoliopsida; Poales; Poaceae
Source: RefSeq, a predicted model, not a curated record